Molecule: ribosomal RNA, 272 nt
Filed under: uncultured bacterium
Lineage: Bacteria
Description: partial 16S ribosomal RNA
Rfam family: Bacterial small subunit ribosomal RNA
Source: RNAcentral
GAUCCUGGCUCAGGACGAACGCUGGCGGCGUGCCUAACACAUGCAAGUCGAACGGAGAUAAAGAUUUCGGUUUUUAUCUUAGUGGCGCACGGGUGAGUAACACGUGAAUAACCUGACCCAAAGAGGGGGGAUAACACCUGGAAACAGGUGCUAAUACCGCAUAAGACCACAAUGUCGCAUGACGAAGGGGUCAAAGAAAAUCGCUUUGGGAGGGGUUCGCGUCCCAUUAGGUAGUAGGCGGGGUAACGGCCCACCUAGCCGACGAUGGGUAG